This 447-nucleotide ribosomal RNA is filed under the name uncultured bacterium. RNAcentral's name for it is "bacterial SSU rRNA". It matches the Rfam family "Bacterial small subunit ribosomal RNA", at positions 335 to 794 of the family's 1533-position model. The record is from RNAcentral.
ACUCCUACGGGAGGCAGCAGUGGGGAAUAUUGCGCAAUGGGCGGAAGCCUGACGCAGCGACGCCGCGUGGGGAUGACGGCCUUCGGGUUGUAAACCUCUUUCGCCAGGGACGAAGCUUUUGUGACGGUACCUGGAGAAGAAGCACCGGCCAACUACGUGCCAGCAGCCGCGGUAACACGUAGGGUGCGAGCGUUGUCCGGAAUUAUUGGGCGUAAAGAGCUCGUAGGCGGUGUGUCGCGUCGGCCGUGAAAACUUGGGGCUUAACUCUGAGCGUGCGGUCGAUACGGGCAUCACUUGAGUUCGGCAGGGGAGACUGGAAUUCCUGGUGUAGCGGUGAAAUGCGCAGAUAUCAGGAGGAACACCGGUGGCGAAGGCGGGUCUCUGGGCCGAUACUGACGCUGAGGAGCGAAAGCAUGGGGAGCGAACAGGAUUAGAUACCCUGGUAGC